UUUAUCAAAAACAUGGCUCCUUGAAUUUAAUAACAUAGGGAGUCGAACCUGCCCAGUGAAAAAUAUUUUAACGGCCGCGGUACCCUGACCGUGCAAAGGUAGCAUAAUCAUUUGCCCUAUAAUUGAGGGCUUGUAUGAAUGGUCUGACAAGAGCAAUACUGUCUCUGUGUGAAUCAGUAAAAUUUUAUUUUUAGGUGAAGAAGCCUAGAUACAAUUAAAAGACAAGAAGACCCUAUCGAGCUUUAAAGAAAUUAGUAUACUUAAUAACAUAACAGCUAUAUGAAAAGAUAAUUACUAAAAAUUUUGGUUGGGGCAACUGAGGAACAAAAAAAGCUUCCUUAAACAAAACUCAACUAUCAAGUAUUGAUCCAAAUUUAUUGAUUAAAGAAUUUAGUUACCGUAGGGAUAACAGCAUUAUCUUUUUUAAGAGUCCUAAUUGAAAAAAAGGUUUGUGACCUCGAUGUUGGACCAGAAUAUCCUAAAGAUGCAGAAGUCUUUAAGGGUUGGUCUGUUCGACCAUUAAAAUUCUACGUGAUCUGAGUUCAGACCGGCGUGAGCCAGGUCAGUUUCUAUCUUUAAUUAAAAAUUUAAGUUUAGUACGAAAGGACCAACUUACAAUAUAAUUAAAUAUUUAUAAUGAAAAAGUAUAAUAUUUAUAUAAAUAUAAAUCGAAUUAGCAGAAUUAAUGCAAUUGACUUAGAAUCAGUAGAUAUAGACGAAAUUUCUAUAUUUGAUAAAUAAAGGUGGCAGAACAAGUGCAUUAGGUUU
RNAcentral lists this ribosomal RNA (768 nucleotides) under Admete viridula. RNAcentral describes it as "partial 16S ribosomal RNA". The stretch from base 1 to 601 matches the Rfam family "Bacterial large subunit ribosomal RNA", at positions 1803 to 2925 of the family's 2925-position model. Lineage: Eukaryota; Metazoa; Mollusca; Gastropoda; Neogastropoda; Cancellariidae. The record is from RNAcentral.